Solanum stenotomum is the source of this 767-nucleotide long non-coding RNA. RefSeq lists it as uncharacterized. The record is from RefSeq and is a predicted model, not a curated record. The transcript has 3 exons. NCBI's taxonomy places the organism in Eukaryota, Viridiplantae, Streptophyta, Magnoliopsida, Solanales, Solanaceae.
GUAUAUCUUUUUCCCCUUGUGCUGCAUCUCCUAAAUCAGUAAGGCCACAAUAUAUCAGAUGGCCAGAUGACAGUGUUCUAGAUUUUGCAUUGAUUUGGAACACCUAUCCAUUCAAAGAAUUGAUGGACACUACUUUCAACUCAAGGAUCACUCGCAGCCCUUUGAAAUAUAUCCGUUGUAGUCAUUGAUCACCUUUAAAUUUAAUGUUUGAACCACAACUAUGGUUUGUUGAGAGGAACAGCUACAUCAUCAGCUUACCUGAUUCAAGUUCUGGAUAUAAUGUUGGUGGAGAAGACAUAAAAUUUAGCGUAAUGGUCAGCCUUUUCCAGUGGAUACAGAAGAGAAGAAGCGGUCCAAGAUCCGGAAUGUGAUACCUUCUGCAGGAAGCCUCAGGACAAUUUUGUUUCCAUGCGACUCACUUUUAUGGCCUUAAGGAGCACGUGCUAGCCACUUGCCUCAUUGACGCACUUUCCAUGUCCGGCGACUCCGAUGAUGCCCACCAUCUCCUCAAUUGGCGGAAAGGCGGCCCUAAAACUGCCUCAAAUUCCGGCAACUUCUCUCUUGUUGCCACUGAGGUAAAUUCUUAUUCACCAUUGGAAUUCUCUGACGAUGUAGAAAUAACACAAUAGCUAUUCGGGGCACUAAAUUCAGAUUACUGUUCUUGUCCGUUGCUUAAUUGAACAAAUUAUUGAAAAAUCCUCCAAAGCAAUUGAGUGAUUGAGCGAAUGCGAAAGAGUUUCACCGCUUAGUUACUUAAGUUUAGCCAU